AUAAACGGGGAAGGGGACCCAGCCCAUGGAGCUGCGGGACUAGAUUCCACGUCAGCAGCAGCAAUUUUCCUCACUUUUGCCUGAGAGGCCUGAGAUAAGGGAGGGGCGGGUCGCUUGACAGAAAAAAACCUAGCACGAGCUUCCCCAGUCCGUACAGGCAAAAUAAAACGGUUCAUGCACGAGGCAGGGGCUUCUCUAGCCAGCAAAGCAUGCUCAGGACCCAGACAUAGCACACAGUGCUCGUGCCCAUCAUCCAAAGGCAUAGGAAUGCCACACUCAAGGCAAGUUUGGGAGGCGUUGCCCGCCAUACUGCGCAGCUAGCAAGGGGCGGGGCCACACACCAACGGGGAAGUGCAAGCAGUUAGCCGCCCUAGCCUGAGUCCUAAACCCACUGUUUAUCCCCGCAGGGCAGGUAAGCUUUUUCACCACACUGUCAGGGAAGAGUGGGACACAGCCUCUGCUGUCGGCGUUUAUGCACACAGCCGCAGCAGAGCUGAGCGAGCAGGCGAUGGUUUAACAGUAACGCCAAAGCCACGUGACCCCUAUGUAGCGCGCUACAGCAGCUACCAACACUGAAGCCGUUUACUUCGUGUGACCAUUUUCCCCCUACGUGUUAUGCUACCCUCAGUGUAUGCUUUCACAGUAGCCUAGCCAACAGCGCAUGCUAGUACGCUGAAGCAGCUUCCCCCCCGCGGUAUGGCUCACAGCAGCUAAGCCGACAGCACGCGCUAGCGACGCUAAGCCGUGUCCCCCCCCGUGUUCAUGCAUCACAGCAGCCUAGUCGACAGCAGUCACUCAGCAAGGCUGACGCCGUGAGCCACCGCGUAGCCCACAGGCUAAGCUAUCUGCUGCCCAGGCGACAGCACUUGCUCCGAGGGCCGAGUCUUCCCGCGAGAGAGGCUAAGGAGAGCGGGCCGCAGCUAGCCUUCAGUCGGACCAGCUAACAGGCCGGGGCUACCAGGGGAAUACCGGGGCUACCAGGGGAACACCUAGAAGGGAGAGAUACAUCGCCCACGGAGGAUGCCGAAGCAUGCUCCAAUAGACGCAAGCACACAGCACUCUCAAGACAGCUGUACCAGUAAAAAAACAGAUCAGGGAGGGCUUAUUGAAUUACGAUCACGUGCUGACAGAAGUAGCCUCGGGCAUUUACAGCUUUCAAACCCUGCAGCUAUGCCUCCUCCAGGUGUGUGCAUGAACAUCAUCAGUGCACGCCACAUGAAAAAUGGCUACGGGACUGUCACCAACCCCGAGAGGUUCCUAAACCAAGACUUCCACCAGCUGAAACAGUACUGUCUCAUCCGACAUCUAAGGUACAUCGAUGAGAUGUUUCCCCCUGACAGAAAUUCAAUCGGCAAUGAGAUACUGACGCCUUCUGAUCUUGCCCGAGUGGUGUGGCUGCGACCAGGGAAAAUUGUUCCAAAUCCAUCUUUUGUUGUUGACGGGGUCUCCAGGUUUGACUUUGGUCAAGGUUGGGCUAAAAACUGCUGGUUUAUUGCCUCUAUUGGAGCUCUGACAUUUCAGAAUCACAUCCUUGGACAAGUUGUUCCUCUUGAGCAAAACUUUGAUGAGGAUUACUGUGGGCUGUUCCACUUCAGGUUCUGGAGAUUUGGAAAAUGGGUGGAUGUCAUCAUUGAUGACAAACUACCAACAAUUGAUGGCAGACUCAUUUUUGUCCACUCCAGAGAUCCAACUGAAUUUUGGCCGGCUCUGCUGGAAAAAGCCUAUGCAAAGGUGUGUGGUUCCUACACAGAUAUGAAUGCUGGAACCCCUGCUGAGGCGUUGGUAGACUUCACUGGUGGGGUCCACAUUUAUAUUGAUCUAUCAAAGCCCCCUCCAGACCUGUGGGAAAUGAUGUGCCGAGCCGGUCAAUCCAAGUCACUGAUGGGUUGUGGGACACCACAGGGUGAGACAACUGAAAACAUUGUACUACCAAAUGGGCUGGUCCAAAGCCAUGCUUACGCUGUCACAGGUGUUAAACAGAUGAUUAGCCGAGGGCAGACGGUGAAUCUGGUGCGUUUGUGGAAUCCCUGGGGCCACGGAGAGUGGAAUGGAGACUGGAGUGAUCGGUCCCCUCUGUGGCAAACUGUGAGUCCUCAAGAUCGAGAUAUGUGCCUAGCAGUCUAUGAUGACGGCGAGUUUUGGAUGAGUCUGAAAGACUUCUGUAAGACCUAUUCAGAGCUCGACAUCUGCUGCAUGUGCCCUGACUUCCUGGAUGGAAACUCUACCUGUCACUGGAACACCUCCAUUUAUCAAGGUCGAUGGGUUGCAGGAACCACUGCUGGAGGCUGCAUGAAGAACCCUGAGAGCUUCUGGACAAAUCCACAGUAUCGGGUCAAGAUUGAUGAAUUAUCCAGUGAAUGUGCUGGGAAACAGGGUGAAAUCAACAUGCUGGUCUCUCUCAUGCAAAAGCCUGACAAAAGGAAUAGACGCCUGGUCCAGAACCUCUACAUUGGAUUUUCUGUAUUUGAGGUGCCCAAAAAUUACAUGACACACAGCGGAAAGUUCCCAGCCUCUUUCUUCAGUGUGAGCAAACUUGUUGCCCACACUAAAUCCUACAUAAAUGCCCGUGAGGUGAUGGAGUUAAUGAUGCUGAAGCCUGGUGAAUAUCUGAUUGUGCCAUCCACCUUCAGUCCCAAUGAGACAGCCUCCUUCAUCCUGACCAUCCUGUCCAAGGCAGAGACCCACGUGCAUGAAAACUCCAGUGGUCAUGAACAUAUGGAAUUGGAAGAGAACACACCAGUGGGAAAGAGUGAAGAUGACGAAAGUAAAAGGACAUUCUUCCGUCAACAUUCUGACAAGUAUGAAGAAGUGGAUGCAGAGCAGCUACAGAGGCUCCUAAAUGGAAAAAUACUACAAGGAGACUUGAAAUCUGGAGGAUUCACAAUCGAUGCCUGUCGCAGCAUGGUAGCUCUGAUGGAUACAUCUGUGACUGGAAAGCUGAAUGGUGAAGAAUUUGUUCGUCUGUGGAAGAAGGUUGUCACAUACCAGGAAAUUUUCUCCCGCUGUGAUGUUUCAAAAACGGGGACGCUGUCACUAAGUGAGCUGAGAAAUGCUAUGAUAGCCUCAGGAAUGAAGAUCAGCGACGAGAUGCUGAAUUUGAUGGCUCUGCGUUACGGCACCUCAUCUGGGCACAUUACUCUGGAGAGCUUCAUCAGUCUAGUACUUCGCUUUGAAUGCAUGUACCAAAUCUUCAACCAGUUGUCUGAUGGGAAGGCUGUGACUCUUCAGGAACCAGAGUGGAUGUACAUUGCAAUGUACACUUAACCUGACAGAGAAGAUGACCUGCAAGAAUGAGACCAAAGACGAAAUAAAGAAAAAAGAGUUUUUCAGCAUGAAAAAAAAAUCAUGAUAUCCAACUACAGGGUGAAGGUUUACAGGAUAUGCACGGGGCAGCAGAGUUAGACUACAAAUCUGUGGGGAGUAGAAACUUUACAGUUACAGUACAACAGAUAGAACCAUGAGUGUGCAGCAUCUGUGAUUAUUUUACACUGAAAUCUUACAUUUUUUACAAAUACUAAUUCUACCAGCUGUAAGUUUUCAAGUUCAAAGGUGGUGGUGCUUUAGAAGCACAAAGUUUGUUUCAAAUCUUUGAGUAUAUAGCUCAUGUACUCCAACUUUGCUACAUGCUUCUGUUACUGGAGUUCUUCAUCCUUUUUAAGUGGGUUGCUGCAUUUUCUUUUCCACCUCUACGAUACAGUAAGAAGUUUUUUGUUUGUUGCUGUUGUUUUUAAGCCCUAAUAAGCAUGUUGUGUGAUUGUCUCCCAACGUAAAAUCACACUGAAAUAUGCAAAAAGCUUUUGCAUGAAUUUACAUGAAAUUUGAUGUCUCAGGAAGAAAUGUAUUCACUCUUGUGAUUGGUUAACUUUUCAUCUAGUGCGAUCAAUUGGUUGAAACUUUACUUUGUUAUUUAGCUGAGACCAUGUGUGCCUGUACAUGCAGCCUUAUGGUGCCAGGAUGUCUGAUAUUACUGUAAAAAGUGUUUCUGAUAGAGCAUUUUAAGUGGGUUACUGAUUUUUUUAGCUUGGAAUGGAUUUUUUUAAUCAGCUUGUACAUAAAGAAAUGAUUCAAGCGGU
Molecule: long non-coding RNA, 4073 nt
Organism: Oreochromis niloticus (Nile tilapia)
Lineage: Eukaryota; Metazoa; Chordata; Actinopteri; Cichliformes; Cichlidae
Product: calpain-1 catalytic subunit
Exons: 23
Source: RefSeq, a predicted model, not a curated record